RNAcentral lists this ribosomal RNA (503 nucleotides) under uncultured bacterium. Its description in RNAcentral is "partial 16S ribosomal RNA". It matches the Rfam family "Bacterial small subunit ribosomal RNA", at positions 30 to 523 of the family's 1533-position model. The record is from RNAcentral.
AUUGAACGCUGGCGGCAGGCUUAACACAUGCAAGUCGAGCGGGGUGAUGGUGCUUGCACUAUCACUUAGCGGCGGACGGGUGAGUAAUGCUUAGGAAUCUGCCUAUUAGUGGGGGACAACAUCUCGAAAGGGAUGCUAAUACCGCAUACGUCCUACGGGAGAAAGCAGGGGAUCACUUGUGACCUUGCGCUAAUAGAUGAGCCUAAGUCGGAUUAGCUAGUUGGGGGGGUAAAGGCCGACCAAGGCGACGAUCUGUAGCGGGUCUGAGAGGAUGAGCCGCCACACUGGGACUGAGACACGGCCCAGACUCCUGCGGGAGGCAGCAGUGGGGAAUAUUGGACAAUGGGGGGAACCCUGAUCCAGCCAUGCCGCGUGUGUGAAGAAAGACUUAUGGUUGUAAAGCACUUUAAGCGAGGAGGAGGCUCUUUUGGUUAAUACCCAAGAUGAGUGGACGUUACUCGCAGAAUAAGCACCGGCUAACUCUGUGCCAGCCGCCGCCGUAA